ACGGGUUUAGCUCAGUCGGUAGAGCGACGGUCUCCAAAACCGUAGGUCGAGAGUUCGAGCCUUUCAACCCGUG
RNAcentral lists this transfer RNA (73 nucleotides) under Dysgonamonadaceae bacterium. RNAcentral's name for it is "tRNA-Trp". It matches the Rfam family "tRNA". From Rfam's summary of the family: Transfer RNA (tRNA) molecules are approximately 80 nucleotides in length. Their secondary structure includes four short double-helical elements and three loops (D, anti-codon, and T loops). Lineage: Bacteria; Pseudomonadati; Bacteroidota; Bacteroidia; Bacteroidales; Dysgonomonadaceae. The record is from RNAcentral.